RNAcentral lists this ribosomal RNA (356 nucleotides) under Salmonella enterica subsp. enterica serovar Derby. RNAcentral describes it as "partial 23S ribosomal RNA". It matches the Rfam family "Bacterial large subunit ribosomal RNA", at positions 1 to 393 of the family's 2925-position model. The record is from RNAcentral. Lineage: Bacteria; Pseudomonadati; Pseudomonadota; Gammaproteobacteria; Enterobacterales; Enterobacteriaceae. RNAcentral also lists the same sequence under 7 other names.
GGUUAAGCGACUAAGCGUACACGGUGGAUGCCCUGGCAGUCAGAGGCGAUGAAGGGCGUGCUAAUCUGCGAUAAGCGCCGGUAAGGUGAUAUGAACCGUUAUAACCGGCGAUACCCGAAUGGGGAAACCCAGUGUGAUUCGUCACACUAUCAUUAACUGAAUCCAUAGGUUAAUGAGGCGAACCGGGGGAACUGAAACAUCUAAGUACCCCGAGGAAAAGAAAUCAACCGAGAUUCCCCCAGUAGCGGCGAGCGAACGGGGAGGAGCCCAGAGCCUGAAUCAGCAUGUGUGUUAGUGGAAGCGUCUGGAAAGGCGCGCGAUACAGGGUGACAGCCCCGUACACAAAAGCGCAUGUG